RNAcentral lists this ribosomal RNA (505 nucleotides) under uncultured Lactobacillus sp. RNAcentral describes it as "bacterial SSU rRNA". It matches the Rfam family "Bacterial small subunit ribosomal RNA", at positions 9 to 480 of the family's 1533-position model. Lineage: Bacteria; Bacillati; Bacillota; Bacilli; Lactobacillales; Lactobacillaceae. The record is from RNAcentral.
GAGUAUGAUCCUGGCUCGGGACGAACACUGGCGCCGUGCCUAUUACAUGCAAGUCGAACGAACUCUGGUAUUGAUUGAUGCUUGCAUCAUGAUUUACAUUUGAGUGAGUGGCGAACUGGUGAGUAACACGUGGGAAACCUGCCCAGAAGCGGGGGAUAACACCUGGAAACAGAUGCUAAUACCGCAUAACAACUUGGACCGCAUGGUCCGAGUUUGAAAGAUGGCUUCGGCAUUCACUUUUGGAUGGUCCCGCGGCUAUUAGCUAGAUGGUGGGGUAACGGCUCACCAUGGCAAUGAUACGUAGCCGACCUGAGAGGGUAAUCGGCCACAUUGGGACUGAGACACGGCCCAAACUCCUACGGGAGGCAGCAGUAGGGAAUCUUCCACAAUGGACGAAAGUCUGAUGGAGCAACGCCGCGUGAGUGAAGAAGGGUUUCGGAUCGUAAAACUCUGUUGUUAAAGAAGAACAUAUCUCAGAGUAACUGGUCAGGUAUUGACGGUAUUG